Carassius auratus (goldfish) is the source of this 2181-nucleotide RNA transcript. It is a transcript of the gene named epidermal growth factor receptor substrate 15-like 1, with no coding region annotated. The transcript has 12 exons. The record is from RefSeq and is a predicted model, not a curated record. Lineage: Eukaryota; Metazoa; Chordata; Actinopteri; Cypriniformes; Cyprinidae.
GUUCACGAGACCGAGUCCUGCGCGCGAGCGCGUGCUCGUGGAUCAGGAAAUAUGGCGGCGCUCACGCCUCUCAGUCAGUUAUCAAGUGGAAACCCUGCGUAUGAGAGCUUCUACAGACAGGUGGAUCCGGGAAACACUGGGAAAGUUGGCGCUGCAGAAGCCGCUCUGUUCUUGAAGAAAUCCGGGCUUUCAGACAGCAGUUUGUGUCAGAUUAGGGAUCUCAGUGACAUUGACAAAGAUUGACACUUGGAUAAAGAAGAGUUUUCAGUGGCCAUGCACCUGGUUUAUGCAGCGAGAGAGAAGGAGUCUGUGCCAUCCACCCUCCCAUCCGCUCUCAUCCCUCCAUCCAAGCACAAGAAGAUCGCAGGCGCUCUUCCGGCAUCCGUUCCCAUUCUUCCCUCAACCCCGUUCCUGCUAAAUAAGAACCUGAGGCCCACGCCGGUCCUUUCCAAGAGUCCUCUGGGUAGCAGCACAAAUCUGUCUCCAUCACGUCAGCCUCAAACACACACACAGUCACUGGCGGACACGCAGUGUACGGGGAAACUCACCAAAGAGCAGUUCUGUCUGGCGAUGCACCUGAUUCAGGAGAAGGUGAAAGGAGUGGAUCCUCCUCGGAGUCUGAGCCCUCAGAUGAUACCACCAUCAGAGAGAAAAGCCGUCAGCACUCGGGACAGCAGGAGUAUUGUUGGGUUGGUUGAGCUGACGGGAAUCAAGGACCAAGAUGACAUCAACCAGGAAAUCUCCCAGCUGCAGAGUGAGAAAUGCAUAUUGGAGACCGAAAUCAGGCAGAAAGAAGAAGCCCUGCGACAGAGGAAUAGCGAAGUGCAGGAGGAUUCAUUGGUUAAGUCCAGGAUGGCUGUGUUUAACAGUAGCGGCUCUCAAGGCCUAAACAUAGACCCCUUCCAGAGCGAAGACCCCUUCAAUAAAGGCCGGUCCCUUCAGCAGAAGAGUCAGCCAGACAUCGAUGAGUCCCAAACCUAAAGAGUCAGACCCGUUUGCUGCGUCAGACGCAUUUCGGCAGCGACUCUUUUGGAGGGAAAAGUGGUUUCGCUGAUUUCUCUCAAAUGUCAAAGAAGUGAGACGCAGCAGCUGGAGUGGACGAAGCAUGAGAGUCAGAGAGAGGAGGCGGAGCUAAUCCAGAGGCUCCGCCUACAAGAGCAGCAGGAACUGGCUCUGACUCUCAGUCGAGCUGAAAAGCCAAGAACGUGAUGCUUCAAUCCAUCAGCGAGACUCACCUAAGCUUUUCCCCCAAUCACACGCUCUCCCUGAAGAUCUCUCUCUCUCUCAGGUUUGCUGUCGCGAUCACUGAACCAAUGAAGUACAACAAAACCAAAGGUCAAAGUUACAGAGUCACUGCACGAAACGCUCAACCACACUAUUAUGCUUUAAAACGUUAUAUACAGCUUCACCAAAUACUGUAGCUGAAGAUCUUAAGUGAGAUCUUAAAUCAUUUUUAAUGCACAGAAGUCUCAUAAUAAAUAUCAACCCAUUUCUAUGGCCAGUGUCGGUUUUGCAAAGUGUCUUAGUUUGACUACGAUCAACUUCAAAUCUCAACCAGACGUUUGGUUUAAUAAGAGGGCUGAGUAACUAAAUGCAUGUCAUUUUCCACCGUUGGUCCACUUUAUGAUUAUAUAUGAUGUCUGUUUUUAUAUAUAUAUAUAAACCUGCAUUAUCAAUGCAUUACGUGAUAGUGAUGAACAAAUCCUGAAUCUCAUUUUCCCUCCUGAUACGCUUUCAUUAGAUGCAUGAAGAUCAAAUGAAGCAUAUUCUUUAGUUUCUGUAGGAGCCUGAGUUUUGCACUGUUCGUUUGAGAGUGAGAUGAUGUAGCAAUGACUCUGUAUUUUGUGUUUAACCCUUUAAAACUUGAUCAGAUCCUUUAGAUGAACCCAGAUCACACCAACCAGCUCUGCCCAUUUCAUCUGUUUUUAACCCUUUCUUGAAGCACAUUUUGCCUUGACGUGAAGCCUUAUACUUUAUAUUGAACUUGUUCUUAUUAUGUAUCGAUAUAUAUAUUGCAUCUGUGAUAAUUAACACUAAAAUCCGCAGGUUAUGGGUUGUUUUUAUGCUAGAGAAGUAAACUCUGGUGAGUGUGUAUGGGUUUCUCUUUUAUGUGUUUUGGUGGAAAAAUGAUUUUACAAUGUGCUGCUUUUCCACUUUUUAAUAAAUGUCAAACAUAUUUAU